This is a long non-coding RNA of Apis cerana (Asiatic honeybee), 1711 nucleotides long. RefSeq lists it as uncharacterized. Lineage: Eukaryota; Metazoa; Arthropoda; Insecta; Hymenoptera; Apidae. The record is from RefSeq and is a predicted model, not a curated record.
ACUUCUUAAGGAUAAUGAGUACAAUAAGCAUCACAUAUGCAAAGUAGUUAUUGCAUUUUGAUGCUAUUAUUUUAUAAUAAAGUUCAAAUCAUAGGAUAUUAAAGUAUCAAAGAUGUCAUGUCACUCUAAAAAAUAUAUUACAUCAUUGAAAGAAGAUGAUUUUUGCGAUAUCUGCGAACGUUGUUCAAAAUGUGGAAUAAUAAUACAAGCAAAUCAUACAUGUAAUACAUGGAAUGGCAAUAAUAACAGUUAUAACUUAAAAUCACGAAAAAAAGAUAAAAUAAGGAAUAAUUAUUCUAAAAGAGUUUCAAUGUACAAUCAAAGUACAACAAUAUACCAAUCAAUAAAAUUUCAAAAAAAUUUUUGCCAAAAAAAAUCUGUCGGUACACAGACAGAAACAAUUUUAACUGCAUCAAACACAACACAAACAAAUGAUGAUUUUAAUAAUUAUAUUAAUCUGAAUGAUAAGGAAAUUUACAGAAAACUUAUUAAAAAUUUAGUUGAAAAAAUGGCACAAAAUAAAAUAUUACUUACCAAAUUGCACAUGCUUUGUGCUAAUUUGCAAAUAAAAUAGUAUUUUUCAUAAUUAUUUUUAAUUAAUGACACGUUUAUUAUUAUUAUUAUUGUAAUUAUAUUUUAAUUUUUGACGUUCAUGAAGUAUUAAUUAAACAUGAUAUUUUUAUUUUUUUAUUUCAUGUAAAUCAAGUUUUCGCUCUUUCGUUUUAUUUAUGAGAUAAUUUUUGUUGUUCUAUAAUUAUAUUUUCAUUCUUUACAUAAAUAUAACAUAAAUGAUCAACUAAAAAUAAAUUUAUAAUUCUUUUUAUGUUUAUAUAACUUGAUUUUAUAAUUGUGUAUUAAUUAUUAAUACAGAAAGAUACGAAAGAUUAAUAAAAAUUUAUAAUCAAUAUUAAAUUGUCAAAUUGUUAUUACGUAUAAUGUAUACGAAUAUUCAUAAAUUACUGUAUUAUCGUUAAUUAUUAUAUUUAUCAAUAUAAAAAAUAUGCAACUUAUCAUUUGUAGAUAACACUUAAUAAUUAACUGCUUUCCUUUUUUUCAUCAUAACAUUUUCGGUAAAAAUUAUUUUAACCAUCUGCGAAAUUAUUUAUAUCGUAUAAUAAAACAUACGAAAUUCUGAAAUAAAAACACAUACUAUAAAUAUUCACAAAUAAACAUAACAUUUCAUUCUAAAUACUUGCGAAUAAAAAAUGAAUAUUAUAAAAAAUUAUUAAAUGUAUUUUAAUUCGUGAACAAACAUACUUUAAAUAUUCACAAACAUGUGUAUUUACUAUAAAUAAUAAAUAAAAUAAGUUCUUCGUACAAAAUAUACACAAUUUUAAAUUAUAAACACAAACGCGCGACACGUUUAAACGGCACGGAGCGCGACACGUCUAAACGGUACGGAGCGCUACACUGUUAUGAAUCGUGGCAUUCCCCCACCGGCAAGCAAAGUCGCACGCACGAAUAUCGAUAGCUGCGUAAGUAGAUUUCAAAUAUUUUAUUAUACAUUAAUAUAAAAUAUUUAAAUAUUGUAAUUUUCAAUUGUAUGUUUAAUUAUAUUCAAAAAAAUAUUUUUUUAUUAUAUUUUUUAUUCAUUAUAUGUUAAUCGAAAAAAAGUUGUAUCAUAUAAGUUAUUUUAUCGAAUCGAGAAUUCUAUUUUAUGAACAACUAAAUAUGUAGAAAAUUGCAAUAAAACUAUUUCAAUAUAAAAUUA